GAAGGAUCAGGCAAAUUCUUACAUAGGAAUUUCGAAUUGACUUUCAAAUUCUGAAUCUGUCGAAUUAGAAGAAAAGCGGGAUUUCUCUGUAGACUCAACGUGCCAGCCCUGACUUGGAGUGAGCCCAGAGCCCAGAGCCGGGGUCCCUGGGGGAUGCUGCAUGACAACACCUUCCUCUGCUGGGACUCGGUUGAGAAUCCGUCUCUGAGAACCUGAAGCUUUUCCUGCUGAUUCUCACUAUUUUCCCAGCAAACUUCCACCCAAGAAAGUUCCAGAAAGAACACCCGUGGGAGGCCUCCCUGCUACAGCGAAGCAGACCUCACCCACCACUACCAGUAUUAAGUCAGAACGGCCAAAGGAAGAUCCUGCCAGACUUUCCCUUGAGCUGGUCUGCAGGCCCCUGCAGCCAGGAACCUGUCCCAGGAGCCGUCCGUCCGUCCAUUGGCAAACAGGUGCGUGCCCCUUCACAUUGCACUUUCUGCUCCCCUGGAGCUGGUUCGUGGGCUGGGGCUUCUCGGGGUGGGGGGGCACUCGGGGGCCAGGGUGUGGGC
This 551-nucleotide long non-coding RNA is filed under the name Zalophus californianus (California sea lion). RNAcentral describes it as "lncRNA (ENSZCAG00015022625.1)". Lineage: Eukaryota; Metazoa; Chordata; Mammalia; Carnivora; Otariidae. The record is from RNAcentral.